This 312-nucleotide unclassified non-coding RNA is filed under the name plant metagenome. RNAcentral describes it as "partial contains 5.8S ribosomal RNA, internal transcribed spacer 2, and large subunit ribosomal RNA". The stretch from base 1 to 105 matches the Rfam family "5.8S ribosomal RNA", at positions 50 to 154 of the family's 154-position model. The record is from RNAcentral.
GAAAUGCGAUAAGUAAUGUGAAUUGCAGAAUUCCGUGUAUCAUCGAAUCUUUGAACGCACAUUGCGCCCUCUGGCAUUCCGGGGGGGAUGCCUGUCCGAGCGUCAUUACGCACCCUCAAGCCCGGCUUGUGUGAUGGGCCCCGGCGUCUCGUUCGCGAGACGGGCCCGAAAGGCAGCGGCGGCGUCGACCCGAUGAGCCCGAGCGUAUGGGGACUUCUGUCACACGUUCGCGGUGCGGACCGGCGCCUGCUUGACUUUUCUGAUUAUCCAGGUUGACCUCGGAUCAGGUAGGGAUACCCGCUGAACUUAAGC